GUGCAAGUCUGCUGUAAUCCAAACACAGCAAAAGUAGCACAGCACAGUGCGAAAAUAAGUGAGAUGGCCACAUGAAACCUGAAGAAUUAGAAGACCAUUCUCAACGGGGGCAAAAAAAAACCCAACAUAACUUUCUCAGGGUUUACUGCAAGGAAGUCUGUGAAUCAAACUGUAAGACUGGCUGGAAAAGCCACAUUUCGCAGAAACUAACAAGAGCAUAUCAGGAGGACACAAGACAACAAUAGAUAUAUACUCAAGGGAUUCAAAAUUCAAGGAGACCUGUUGUUCCAAUGAGAAAUGACAAGUUCCAGAACAGCGCUUGCAAAACAACGUCUCACCUCAAGAUGUGAAGACAAUGCCAGGAUCUUUCCCAGCCCAGCUACUGCCUGAUCUACUGUAUUUUUCCAGCAGUUCCAAGCUCUGCAUUCUCUCUACACUCUGCUUUCUUUAUUCCAAGCUUCAUCAAGGGAAGCAAUGACCAGAAGUGCUGAGAAAAGCCUCUCCGUCAAAAUGCAACAAGCUGUUGACUUACAGCAACCUCUUGCCCAGAAUUGCCCAAACUGGCAAUGACACAUUUGUGAAGAGGCCAACCAUCUCUACCAGCUCCAUAAGCCCCCUGGGGGAAGGAAGGUGUGAAAGCCCAAGCAUCCCAGCUCUUCAUACGCCACCUGCCCUACCUGGAUGUGCCAGUCCAGCACUGGACUGUUUAUUUACCUCAGGACCACAACUUGAAAGUGAAAAUCACCCUCAGUCUCAAGGGACUACUUACGAUGAAGAAGAAGACCAAAACUUAAUUCUAUUGAUUGACUGCAUUUAAAAUUGAUGGUAUCAGCAUUUUCACCAUGCCUUUUUAAAAUGAGGAACAGGAUAAUUAUAUUUAAUGUUAGAAACAGAUUUCACUAAAUUGCAUUGCCACAAUCAAAAUGUCUGAAUCUGAUGGGUUUGAGGUCAAGUGAGUU
Non-coding RNA from Chiloscyllium plagiosum (whitespotted bambooshark), 959 nucleotides. The record is from RefSeq and is a predicted model, not a curated record. Lineage: Eukaryota; Metazoa; Chordata; Chondrichthyes; Orectolobiformes; Hemiscylliidae.